This 440-nucleotide RNase P RNA is filed under the name Peptococcaceae bacterium BRH_c23. RNAcentral describes it as "bacterial RNase P". It matches the Rfam family "Bacterial RNase P class A". From Rfam's summary of the family: Ribonuclease P (RNase P) is a ubiquitous endoribonuclease, found in archaea, bacteria and eukarya as well as chloroplasts and mitochondria. Its best characterised activity is the generation of mature 5'-ends of tRNAs by cleaving the 5'-leader elements of precursor-tRNAs. The record is from RNAcentral. Lineage: Bacteria; Bacillati; Bacillota; Clostridia; Eubacteriales; Peptococcaceae.
GAAGCCAACCAGAUGAUCGCGGAGGUAAGGACCCAAAGGUCGCCUCUGAGGAAAGUCCGAGCUCCAUAGGGCAAGGUGCUGGGUAACACCCAGUGGGGGAGACCCCAAGGAAAGUGCAACAGAGAGAUACCGCCGAUAACGGAGGUCAGUUGUCAGAGGCCAGAGGUUAGAAUAAGUUUGUUCUAAUCCGACUUCCGGCUUCUGACGACUGACCUCCGAGUAGGUAAGGGUGGAAAGGCGAGGUAAGAGCUCACCGGCAGUCAGGCGACUGGCUGGCCAUGUAAACCCCACCUGGAGCAAGACUGAAUAGGGGAACUAUGAACGGCCCGUUUUUGUUCCCGGGUAAGGUCGCUAGAGGCCGUCGGUAACGGCGGUUCGAGAUAGAUGAUCAUCACCUCCGAACGGAGGGACAGAACUCGGCUUAUAGGUUGACUUCGCAU